RNAcentral lists this ribosomal RNA (305 nucleotides) under uncultured bacterium. Its description in RNAcentral is "bacterial SSU rRNA". It matches the Rfam family "Bacterial small subunit ribosomal RNA", at positions 335 to 657 of the family's 1533-position model. The record is from RNAcentral.
AUGCCUACGGGGGGCAGCAGUGGGGAAUUUUGCGCAAUGGGGGAAACCCUGACGCAGCAACGCCGCGUGCGGGACGAAGGCCCUCGGGUCGUAAACCGCUUUCAGCAGGGAAGACCACGACGGUACCUGCAGAAGAAGCUCCGGCUAACUACGUGCCAGCAGCCGCGGUAAUACGUAGGGGGCGAGCGUUAUCCGGAUUCAUUGGGCGUAAAGCGCGCGUAGGCGGCCGCCUAAGCGGAACCUCUAACCCCGGGGCUCAACCUCGGGACUGCUCUGGAAACUGCGGCGCUGGAGUACGGGAGGGG